GUUGACUUUACUAUUGUAUGUGUAGCGGGUACGAUGGGGGAAAUGGGGAAUGCAGCUUGAUGCCCUGCUUUCAGGUGCUAAUUGAUUAGACCAGGUGGUAUAGCGCUUAAAUUAGCCAGCUGACAAGAGGACAUGAGAGCGGUCUGUUUGAAACGGUGAAUCAGGAAGUUGGUGUGUCGGUGGUGCAUAGCGGAGAUUCUCAGCCUGGGGCGCGUGACUAUGAACCUCAAACGGUGCAUGCUGCACAGAAACUUCGCUACAAUAGAGAGUACACAGCGACUAGUACAUCCACACUGGUUUUAAGAAUACAGAAGCUACGCCGACAUCGGAGAGUGUAUACAGCUUGUUUACUAUCCAUACUGGUUCAGUCACGUUAAAACUAAAGCGAGUGCAUACAGCUUGUAUCUCAUCCACACUGUUUUUAAGAAUGAGGACUGCCUUCGUCGGUUCAGCCAGCCACUGUUUUUCCUGAGCUUGUAACUGUUUCAUUGUUUACUUGUGUGUGUUGUGUAACCUAUGUGACGGAAUCUAGCCUGUCUGCGUCACGACUGUCUUGUGCUGCGCCAUCAGUGGAGGCCAGCCUAUCAUAGUUUUACCGUCUAUAAUAUCCGCUUGUCUCUCUGUGUGUGUCUGUUUAAUGUCUGUCUGUAUUUGUUCUCAUGUUGUCUUGGCUUAGGGCAGUGUGCAAGAGUCCCUAUAUAAACAGUAAUUUGUUUGCAGUGUCUAUUUGAGUGUGGUGUCUGAAACCCAGUGUAACCUUAUCAGUGUAUGUUUGUGCACUGUCCAUAUAGUGUGAAGUGUUGUGGUGUAUUCACUCAUUCUUCGAGAUUGUGUGCUGUAAUUUAUGCGGAACAUUGUUCCU
Molecule: long non-coding RNA, 862 nt
Organism: Alosa sapidissima (American shad)
Lineage: Eukaryota; Metazoa; Chordata; Actinopteri; Clupeiformes; Clupeidae
Exons: 5
Source: RefSeq, a predicted model, not a curated record